Molecule: ribosomal RNA, 253 nt
Filed under: uncultured bacterium
Lineage: Bacteria
Description: partial 16S ribosomal RNA
Rfam family: Bacterial small subunit ribosomal RNA
Source: RNAcentral
UACGUAGGUGGCUAGCGUUGUCCGGAUUUACUGGGCGUAAAGAGCGCGCAGGCGGUCGUUCAAGUCGAGUGUGAAAGCCCCCGGCUCAACUGGGGAGGGUCACUCGAUACUGAUCGACUCGAAGGCAGGAGAGGGAAGCGGAAUUCCCGGUGUAGUGGUGAAAUGCGUAGAUAUCGGGAGGAACACCAGUGGCGAAGGCGGGUCUCUGGGCCGAUACUGACGCUGAGGAGCGAAAGCGUGGGGAGCGAACAGG